Molecule: ribosomal RNA, 491 nt
Filed under: uncultured bacterium
Lineage: Bacteria
Description: partial 16S ribosomal RNA
Rfam family: Bacterial small subunit ribosomal RNA
Source: RNAcentral
GUGAACGCUGGCGGUAGGCCUAACACCUGCCAGUCGCACGGCAGCACAGUAAGAGCUUGCUCUUACGGGUGGCGAGUGGCGGACGGGUGAGGAAUACAUCGGAAUCUACUUUUUCGUGGGGGAUAACGUAGGGAAACUUACGCUAAUACCGCAUACGACCUACGGGUGAAAGCCGGGGAUCUUCGGACCUUGCGCGAUUGAAUGAGCCGAUGUCGGAUUAGCUAGUUGGCGGGGUAAAGGCCCACCAAGGCGACGAUCCGUAGCUGGUCUGAGAGGAUGAUCAGCCACACUGGAACUGAGACACGGUCCAGACUCCUACGGGAGGCAGCAGUGGGGAAUAUUGGACAAUGGGCGCAAGCCUGAUCCAGCCAUACCGCGUGGGUGAAGAAGGCCUUCGGGUUGUAAAGCCCUUUUGUUGGGAAAGAAAAGCAGCAGGUUAAUACCCCGCUGUUCUGACGGUACCCAAAGAAUAAGCACCGGCUAACUUCGUG